GUGGGGAAUCUUCCGCAAUGGACGAAAGUCUGACGGAGCAACGCCGCGUGAGUGAUGACGGCCUUCGGGUUGUAAAGCUCUGUGAUCGGGGACGAAUGGCUGGUAUGCUAAUACCAUAUCAGAGUGACGGUACCCGAAUAGCAAGCCACGGCUAACUACGUGCCAGCAGCCGCGGUAAUACGUAGGUGGCAAGCGUUGUCCGGAAUUAUUGGGCGUAAAGCGCGCGCAGGCGGCUUCUUAAGUCCAUCUUAAAAGUGCGGGGCUUAACCCCGUGAUGGGAUGGAAACUGGGAGGCUGGAGUUUCAGAGAGGAAAGUGGAAAUCCUAGUGUAGCGGUGAAAUGCGUAGAGAUGAGGAAGAACACCGGUGGCGAAGGCGACUUUCUGGACGACAACUGACGCUGAGGCGCGAAAGCGUGGGGAGCAAACAGGAUUAGAAACCCGUGUAGUCC
This 450-nucleotide ribosomal RNA is filed under the name uncultured bacterium. Its description in RNAcentral is "partial 16S ribosomal RNA". It matches the Rfam family "Bacterial small subunit ribosomal RNA", at positions 354 to 796 of the family's 1533-position model. The record is from RNAcentral.